AGAUAUAUACACAGUACCUUUCUCAGCCAGAGAGACUCUGUAGUACUCCAGGUAGAGACAGUACCUUUCUCAGCCAGAGAGACUCUGUAGUUCUCCAGGUAGAGACAGUACCUUUCUCAGCCAGAGAGACUCUGUAGUUCUCCAGGUAGAGACAGUACCUUUCUCAGCCAGAGAGACUCUGUAGUACUCCAGGUAGAGACAGUACCUUUCUCAGCCAGAGAGACUCUGUAGUUCUCCAGGUAGAGACAGUACCUUUCUCAGCCAGAGAGACUCUGUAGUACUCCAGGUAGAGACAGUACCUUUCUCAGCCAGAGAGACUCUGUAGUUCUCCAGGUAGA
Oncorhynchus keta (chum salmon) is the source of this 338-nucleotide long non-coding RNA. RefSeq lists it as uncharacterized. NCBI's taxonomy places the organism in Eukaryota, Metazoa, Chordata, Actinopteri, Salmoniformes, Salmonidae. The transcript is spliced from 3 exons. The record is from RefSeq and is a predicted model, not a curated record.